This 481-nucleotide ribosomal RNA is filed under the name Aerococcus sp. RNAcentral describes it as "bacterial SSU rRNA". It matches the Rfam family "Bacterial small subunit ribosomal RNA", at positions 35 to 500 of the family's 1533-position model. Lineage: Bacteria; Bacillati; Bacillota; Bacilli; Lactobacillales; Aerococcaceae. The record is from RNAcentral.
GGGCGGGGGCUUGGCUAUACUGCAGUCGAGCGAACAGAUGAAGUGCUUGCACUUCUGACGUUAGCGGCGAACGGGUGAGUAACACGUAAGGAAUCUACCUAUAAGCGGGGGAUAACAUUCGGAAACGGGUGCUAAUACCGCAUAAUAUCUUCUUCCGCAUGGAAGAAGAUUGAAAGACGGCUCUGCUGUCACUUAUAGAUGACCUUGCGGUGCAUUAGUUAGUUGGUGGGGUAAUGGCCUACCAAGACGAUGAUGCAUAGCCGACCUGAGAGGGUGAUCGGCCACAUUGGGACUGAGACACGGCCCAAACUCCUACGGGAGGCAGCAGUAGGGAAUCUUCCGCAAUGGGCGAAAGCCUGACGGAGCAAUGCCGCGUGAGUGAAGAAGGCCUUCGGGUCGUAAAACUCUGUUAUAAGAGAAGAACAUAUUGUAGAGUAACUGCUACGGUCUUGACUGUAUCUUAUCAGAGAGCCACCCCUAC